RNAcentral lists this long non-coding RNA (762 nucleotides) under Vitis vinifera (wine grape). RNAcentral's name for it is "long non-coding RNA (VVIN_LNC003629)". The record is from RNAcentral. Lineage: Eukaryota; Viridiplantae; Streptophyta; Magnoliopsida; Vitales; Vitaceae.
UUUCUCGGCGGCGACUUGGGCCUUGGCUGCCAAGCCAUGCGACUCCUGCAAGUCCGCUGCCGCCCUACUUUUCUGUCGAGCGGAUUCCGCCUUUCUUUGCGUGGGUUGUGACUCCAAGAUCCACGGUGCCAACAAGCUGGCGUCUCGCCACGAGCGCGUCUGGAUGUGCGAGGUCUGCGAGCAGGCUCCUGCCAGCGUCACCUGUAAGGCCGACGCCGCCGCCCUAUGCGUCACGUGCGACCGCGACAUCCACUCCGCGAACCCCCUCGCUCGUCGCCACGACCGAGUCCCGGUGGUUCCGUUCUACGACUCGGCCGAGUCCUUGGUGAAGUCUACCGCCGCUGCUGUUGGGUUUCUCGUCCCCGGCGGCGCCGGGGAUGAGGAGGACUCCGAGGCUGCUUCAUGGCUCCUCCCGAACCCGAAACUCCCCGAAGGACCGGAGGUGAAGUCCGGCGAGGUGUUCUUCUCCGAUAUCGAUCCAUUUCUGGAUUUUGAUUACCCGGAUGCGAAAUUCCCACACCAUCAUCACCACCACUGCGGUGGAAAUGAUGGUGUAGUUCCGGUUCAAGCCAAAGAUCCCUCACCUCCGGUCACGAACCACCCUGCUGACAAUUGUUUUGAACUGGAUUUCUCUCGAUCAAAGCUCUCUGCCUACAACUAUACAGCUCAAUCUCUAAGCCAAAGCGUAAUUUCCCUUGCAGAAACUAGUGUUAUUAAUUGUCAACGCUAACAUAUAUGUAUAUAAAUUUGGAUGAAUUGGUG